GCGGGACCAGGGGGGUUGGGCGGGGUAUCGACAGUGUCGAGCGCAUCUCAGAGGCGCUGGUCCGCCCCGGGCCUUCAGAGGUACCUUAAGGGGGAGGAAGGGGCCCAUCCUCAAGUGGGCACUUCCGGCUCCUCCCGACCUGCCUUCAUCCCACAGGAGGUCAAACUGUCCAUUGAGGGGCGCUCUAAUGCUGGGAAGUAGCACCACAUCACAGAAGAGACUGGCAGAUGAGCAAAAGCGAGGGAGAGAGAUUGGAAAAGAGUUGGAAUGUAGCCUCAGAAUGUUGAGAUUUUGCACACCUAAGAUUACAGCAGAACUGCCUUGUCUGGUGGCUGGUCAGGACCGCUCUCUCUGGCCUGCCAGUGGAUCAGUCAGUCUGGACAGCUCCGGGUUCUGGUCAGGUGGUCGGGUGUCUGCUUUUCCAGACUGACAGAUGAGAGGGUGCAGCAGGGAGUGCAUGUAGCUGGUGAAUCACCUACCAAAGCCCUUGCAGACCUUCCUCGUUAACCGCCCUAACAGUCCUUAUCAGACGGUAACCUUCACAUUCACUGGCCUGUCUCUCUUCUCUCUGAACCAACCAUCUCUUCUGGAAACCUGAGGCUAAGGAGAAUCUGUAGCCAAGGUGUGGCGAGACGGACACCGGGCGGGGUCUGAGGCAGGUUUAGUCUUCUGAGACGGAGCCUUGGAGGUCUUUCUAUCAGCUCCUUCAAUCAACCAAUCAGAACACAGGAAAUGGCUUACUCCAUUGCAAUGCACCAACCGCAGUGCUCGUUCUUUUGUUUACACCUCAACCUGUCUUUGGGCCACAGUUUCCCAUUUUUUGGUAAAAAAAAAAUAUAUAUAUAUAUAUAGAAAGAAAUAUCAUGCAUUCCAGGAUGGUAAUGAUUGUCCACCACAUACAGUGCAGAUCAGUGUUUCCUGACCAACACAGCCUUUACUGCCUGCUUGCUGUACCUCAGCGUUCCUGGGCCCGCGUGCCACAGUGUCCUGUCGUUGCGUUAGUUCUGUCUCUGAGGCACUGGCUGGUCUACACCACAGUCACCUGUGGGAACCAAGCCCAGAGCCCACAUGGGCCAGUAGAGGCUGCAGGCAAUUGGCGGCUCAGAUGGCUGCCCUGAAGGGACAGUGCUGGCCGGAGUGGAUACCCCAAAGAGCUAUGUCGGACCUCACCGGCUCAGUGAAGCAGCCCCUGGGGCUGUGGCAGGGAAACCCUGUGUGUUGGAAGGGGCGUAAUUGGCUCUGCCUAUUUUUAUUUCCUUUCCCACUAUCGUCCUGACCCAAACUGUCCACUUGUCUUGUUUUGCAGUGAAAAUAGUUGGGUGCGGUAAGAUGUGGUUGGUCUGUCUCUCCAGCCUGGUUUGGGUGGGACAUGGCAAAGUGCUUGUUCACAUUAUGCUACAUUUUCUGAGACAUAUCGAAGAAGACGCUAGAUUUUGUUGUUAACUUGGAGAUAUCAUUACCUUCUGAGGUAGCGUGCGCCGCAUUUUCAAUAGAGCCCCCCUUCAGAGUUUUGCGAGUGUAAAAACGUCUGUAAGAACUGUAUCAAGUUUCUGUGCAGUGCGCACAGGUAUCGCAAAAUCUUUCCCUCGUUUGACGGCCAUAAUCCGGCGUGGUACGCCUCUCAUUUUUCGGUGUAAAUUCAAACACUGGAAAUGAUUAUGCAAACUAAAAUAAAUCCAUCUAGCGUUUUAUUCUCACUCGUAAUGUAAACAAGCCCUUUUAGUCCUUGGUUAUAAGCAUUAGAGGGCCACGUCAGUUUUCACAGAGGUGUCAGAGAGGUGUAAAAUGGUUGAGUCCAGUUAAUCUUUGCUCAGUUACCAAAAUCAAAGCAAUAUUUCUGUCAGGAGCACAAGGUUGGGCUACAUUAACCUCACACUUAGGAAGUUUUUUGGGUUGUUGUUUUUAUAUGAAUAUACUGCUUGUGUAUCUUUAACCUUGACCUUAAACGUUCCUGCUUUUCAAAGGUGAUGCACAAUUUGGGUAUGAAAUGUUUUUGUUGUUCCUGUACAGUUAUUACAGAUCCACAAUCAAAGCAUGAUCUUGAUUAUUUUUUUUAUUUCUUUUAUUUUUUUUUACCUAUUUAGAAAAAGAAAGAAAUGGAAAACAUGCAUUUGUUCCGCAAAGUAUGGCCUCUGUUAUUAUAGACUGGAGGUUUGUGCUCUGAUCCUCACUGAUAGUAUUCUCUGGUUUAAUAUGGUUUACCCUAUAUGCUUUUCUUCAAGAGGCUUGACUCCCAAAUCAGUGGUGACUGUCCACUAUUCUGUCCUUUCUGUUAUUGUACUGGUGAACAGUGUAGAAUUAUUUUACUUGUCCAUGGCAAAAUUAUUUCAAUGGAUCAUAAGAUUGUAUUGUAUUGCACAUAGAAAUUGUCAAAAGUUGAUUCACACUGACUUUGUAAUCGAAAUCACAAAUCGUUUUUUUAGUUGUUUUUUUUUUUAAGGGAAAUGUUUUGUAGUUAUUGCAUUUCUGAAGUAUUCUUAAGAUAUUUUUGGCAAGAUUAACUAAAUUGCAUGGUUGACACUGUUUACAAAUUAGCCAAGACUAAUGCUGCUGUUUCUUUUUAUGGAUACAGACUUCAGUUACUGAGAAACUUCACACAGAUGAAAAUAUGACGAAGUGCAAUUAGAGCAGAUGUAAAAAUGACUCAGACAUUUACUUUAAUAUGGCAUUCCAUACAGUAGCCAGACAUUCCCUUCAGGUAGUACAAAUUACAAAGUUCUAGAUUUGUGUUUAUUUGUAAUAUUCUAGUCACAAAGACAUUUUAACUUCACCUUCUAAUAACGUCUCUAAUCACUUCAGAACCAGUAGUCCUUGUCAGAAUGGUGUGUAUUUGUUUUAUUAUUACCUAUGUUAUAAAAUGUGCAGACCCAAACAUUAAUAUCCAGGCUCACUGAUAGCAAGUGAGGAGGCGGAAAAUGGUGUUAGCUGGUGUGUCAGAGAAUCUCAGACGUGGCCUGCCCCUGUAUCCUGGCGUGGGGCUCUGAGGGGAAGUCUGGUGUGAGAGUGUGCUGUUGACACCCACUGCCUUCCGGUGGACUCAAGUCCCCUGCAUCCACGGUGUUUCUAGACAGCUGUGUCAGAUCUAGUUCAAAUGCCCCUUCCAACACCCCCACACUCACUGCCUCCAGGACAUUUCACUUGAGCAGAGCCCCCAAGGACUUAAAGGGUCACUGGGGAUACGGCCUUGGACGCUGUCUUUGGAUAGACAACGGGGCCAUGGGCGACUGGUCCUGAAGAAAAGGGUAGGUCUGUUAAACCAGUGGCGGGAGUUGCGUUCCGGUUGAUCCCCUCAUGUUGUGAAUUACACUAGUGGUCUGUUGUCACUCAGAAAUGGGGAGUAAUAGACAUGGGUGGUUUUCUUCAGAAUACUUUUCUCUUUACAAUAGUUACUUUGAGCAUGUUUUCUUUUUAAUGCAAUAAGCAGUACUGUUACACAGAACACCCGAACAUGUAUUCUAGCAUGUUUUGCUCAUGAGGUAAACUCUAAUGUCUUCAGUGUCCAAGUGUAGGGCAGGGUGGUAAUGUAUAUACAAAACUGGCUGACACAGUCAUUGUACACUGAUCUGUUAAGUACUAUUGUCUAUCUGCGCCAUGGGUGAAUAUAGUGUGUUUGCUUGUUCAUUCAGGCCCCUUAGUUAGACACUAGCCUUCUGAGUUUAUUAGUGUGAUGUUAUUCAGCCCAUAACCUCAACUCUACGUUCCCUUGCAAUUCACAGCCCACAUGCACAAAUGGCAUGUCUUACCCCCUCCUGCCCUGGCCAUACCACCCAAUGUCUGUCUGACUCUUCAUUUUGGGUUAACAAAGUGUUUUUUAAGGUGCAAGCAGUUCUUCCUAUGUCUUUUUCCUUCUCUACUGAGAACAGUAUAUUUCAGUGGCCAUAUGACAUUCAUCUGCGAAUGAUCGAAGCAGACGCUCAGCGGCCCCGGUCCGUUUAGCUUGUGCUGUGGGUGUGGACGUUCUGCAGCAGUAGGCUACACCUAACUAACCACUGGAAGAGGGAACAGUCCUGUAUGUUAUUAAACUCUCUUCUCAUUAGGCUAGUCUUUUACUACGAUUUUAUUCAAGACAGAAAUUUGCACUCGUUUGCCAUCCUUUAUAGUGUUAUAAAAUGAACUGUUGGUUAAUUAAAGAGGUUUGUGUUCUUAGCACACUCAAACCGCCAGUUAAACAAUCACUCGACAGUUGUGUGCAUGUUUGUAUCAAUAGAUAGUUUUGUAUCAAACUUGUCAAUAAUGCCUUAAGAUCUGCUUCGUACAAUGUGUAAAUGGUAAGAUGUUUAGAAGUCACCCAGGUUCCUUUUUUUCCUGUAGCUACAAAGGUGGAACAUUUAACUCCAGUUACAUUAACCCCCUUGGCACGCUGCUGUUUGAUUCAUGAGCAGAAAGGCAUUUGGAGAAGAUGCACUGUAUCUCUGGAUGUGAGUAGAUGACAGAGGUGUCUUUGUAGUUGAUUUUCCACACACCACCGUCUUAGUUUUUAUUGUGAGUGGAUGUUGAGAAUAGGUCCCUGGAGUUGAGAGGUUGUGCUUGAUAUCUUUUGAGUUUUGGUCCGUGGUAUGAUCUGCCUGACCGAGGUGCUGGUUAUUUUGGGUGUGGAGAGAAUGAGAGGUUCAUUUUGGGUCAGUUAGUUUGCUGCCACACAAGGAGACAUGCCCAUGGGUGGCAUCACAUUCCCUCCCUCAGGGAACCAAGGUUAUAUUACACUUAGCCCAAGGCUUCCAAAACCAGGAACAACUUUCCUUUAUUGGUAGUAGUUUCAUAUUCUGUUGCCUUGUUUUGUGAUUAUGGAAAAAGGCUUUAUGACCCUUAUAGAAAGUAGCCGUCAGUCUCGUCUGAUCUUGUGUGACUGAGGUAAAUGGACUGGAUGGGAUGGGGUUUUCGCCAGGCACUUGAGAUGCAGAAUUAAAUCAGGAUGAUAAGAAAGGUUAUACAAUUUAAACAAGUCCUUGUGUAUUUUCAGAUUUGACAUUUGUACUUUUGGCACUAAAGUGACUGCUUUUUAUGUGACCUGUGACCCGUUUGAAAAGAAACAGCAUCUUUUUUUAAUGCAUUAAAUCUGCAAAAUAUAUGCAAUGAUGUAUAUGUCAUAUUAAAUCCUCAAAUAUAAUCCAGGUUGUAUAAACUUUGUAUAGUGAGUUUUAAUAUUGUAUGGCUGUAUCAAUAUGUAUUGAUUCUUAUCAGAAGCCUUAGCGUUGUCUACCCAAAGUGCUCCCUUAGAAAUCAGUACCCUACACCUACCUGAACUUUACAAAGCAUUAAGAACUAUAUUUUGUUGCGUUUCAUUUGUACCCUUUUUGAAUAAAAUAGAUUUGUACUGUAUAUUUGUACCUCCGUGUGAACUACUUAGGGCUGUUAUGUUUUUGUUUUGCAGUUUUAAUUCUAUGUACUUAAGGACACAAAGAUAUUGUAUUUUUAUUGUUACAGCUAACUUCUUGGAGAUAUUGCAUUUAUCAUGUUUGUUAAGUAAACACAAUAUAAUAUAUAUAAAUACUA
This is a long non-coding RNA of Esox lucius (northern pike), 5493 nucleotides long. RefSeq lists it as uncharacterized. NCBI's taxonomy places the organism in Eukaryota, Metazoa, Chordata, Actinopteri, Esociformes, Esocidae. The record is from RefSeq and is a predicted model, not a curated record. The transcript has 2 exons.